GAUGAACGCUGGCGGCGUGCUUAACACAUGCAAGUCGAACGGUGAAGGCGGAGCUUGCUCUGCUGGAUCAGUGGCGAACGGGUGAGUAACACGUGAGCAAUCUGCCCCUGACUCUGGGAUAAGCGCUGGAAACGGCGUCUAAUACUGGAUACGAGCUGCGAAGGCAUCUUCAGCAGCUGGAAAGAACUUCGGUCAGGGAUGAGCUCGCGGCCUAUCAGCUUGUUGGUGAGGUAACGGCUCACCAAGGCGUCGACGGGUAGCCGGCCUGAGAGGGUGACCGGCCACACUGGGACUGAGACACGGCCCAGACUCCUACGGCAGGCAGCAGUGGGGAAUAUUGCACAAUGGGCGAAAGCCUGAUGCAGCAACGCCGCGUGAGGGACGACGGCCUUCGGGUUGUAAACCUCUUUUAGCAGGGAAGAAGCGAAAGUGACGGUACCUGCAGAAAAAGCGCCGGCUAACUACGUG
This 468-nucleotide ribosomal RNA is filed under the name uncultured bacterium. RNAcentral describes it as "partial 16S ribosomal RNA". It matches the Rfam family "Bacterial small subunit ribosomal RNA", at positions 28 to 507 of the family's 1533-position model. The record is from RNAcentral.